This 24-nucleotide non-coding RNA is filed under the name Cricetulus griseus (Chinese hamster). Lineage: Eukaryota; Metazoa; Chordata; Mammalia; Rodentia; Cricetidae. The record is from RNAcentral.
UGGAAGAAAUUCAGGAUCUGAACA